RNAcentral lists this ribosomal RNA (439 nucleotides) under uncultured bacterium. RNAcentral's name for it is "partial 16S ribosomal RNA". It matches the Rfam family "Bacterial small subunit ribosomal RNA", at positions 338 to 795 of the family's 1533-position model. The record is from RNAcentral.
CCUACGGGUGGCAGCAGUGGGGGAUAUUGCACAAUGGAGGAAACUCUGAUGCAGCGACGCCGCGUGAGUGAAGACGGUCUUCGGAUUGUAAACCUCUGUCUGUGGGGAAGAAAAUGACGGUACCCAAAGAGGAAGCUCCGGAUAAUUACGUGCCAGCAGCCGCGGUAAUACGUAGGGAGCGAGCGUUGGCCGGAGUUACUGGGUGUAACGGGAGCGUAGGCGGGCGGGAACGUUGACUGUUAAAUCUACCGGCUUAACUGGGAGCUGCGGUUAAAACUUGUUGUCUGGAGAGAGGUAUAGGCAGGCGGAAGUCCUAGUGUAGCGGUGAAAUGCUUAGAUAUUAGGAGGAACUCCAGUGGCGAAGGCGGCCUGCUGGGCGUGAACUGACGCUGAGGCUCGAAAGCGUGGGGAGCAAACAGGAUUAGAUACCCCAGUAGUC